RNAcentral lists this long non-coding RNA (1684 nucleotides) under Triticum aestivum (bread wheat). RNAcentral describes it as "long non-coding RNA (TAES_LNC027849)". Lineage: Eukaryota; Viridiplantae; Streptophyta; Magnoliopsida; Poales; Poaceae. The record is from RNAcentral.
CCAGUGUUAGUCCCUACAGUUAUAGUGUCAUCUUAUCAGUGGACUGGCAUGUUUUACAUAGAUUUCCCCUUGCCGGAUCUCGCCCGGGCGAAUCCUUGGUACGCAGCGAAGCAAAACAAUCACUGGUAUGCGCGGUCGCUCAAUCCAGCAAUAGUGGUGUGGACGAUGCGGCGGUGACAAGUAGAAUUUGACAGCGGUUCCAAAGGGACCCCCCUGUCGAAUUCAGAGCAUUCAGCAGGCAAAGAUGAUGCACAAGCCCCUGGCUCUGGCUGCACCAACAGGUAUACAUAUGCGGGGCUGUAUUCCUACUUGGAACAUAUAUUAAUUCUGAAUGGUCUGCGUGAUUUUAGUGCUCUGAAUUAUAGUGAACUCUUUAGCUCCUGAGCAUGACGGUCUGGGUUUAGAACAGAAUUGAGUUCAACAAGCCAAAAGGUACAGAAUUGAGUGUGUUCCUGAACCGCAAAAGUAUACGGGAGUGAUGCUCUAACAGUUGGAAAUUUCAUUGGUUUAGCAGCUCUGGAACGCAAACGGAAGGCCGGUUGACUAACAGCAGCAGAGACAAGCCUCCAUAUGAUGAUCACAGUGCAAAGAGCAAAAAAAGUAAGUUUGUGCCUCAUCUGGAUACUGUUGAGGGAUAUGGUACAAGCAAACGAACACGUUUCUGCAGUAUAUGUUGUGAACCAGGGCAAGAGCACAACAUGUCUACUGUUAGAGCAGAGUUAAAAGCACUGUUUUCUGUUAAAAAACACCCUUUAGUCCAGUAGUUAGCAAAAUCGUAGCUUCUUCUGGCUUGCUUAUAAAUAUCUUGGCUAUGUUUUACAUUCAAGCUACCCAUUAAUUCUAUGUUGUAGCAUGUACCUUUUUUAGGACAGAUGUUUGCUAAAAUUAUUGUACCAAAUAUUCUGGGUGAUGUUCUAUAUGCUCAUUGUUAAAACUUUAUAAUGAAAGUAUUUUUCUUCUCAAGGCAAUCGGUACAGACAUGAUUACAAAAACUGGUUGGGGUUUUCCCAUCUUAACAAAUAUUCAUAUUUUCCUUUGCAAACAAAAAGGAUAUUUCGCUUCACAAAAAAAAUUACUUUCACCUCACUUGCCUCCAUAAAUUUUUUAUAUAAAUUUCUACUAUUCUUUGCUUUUAUAAAAUCCUGACUUUUAUUGCCAAAAUUGACAUGCGCGGCUAGUAGCACACUCGUGGAUGUGCAAAGAAAGUAAUUGUCCUUGUUCUUUGUGCAAUCAUUUUCAGGGCAAGCCAAAAAGGAGUAACACACGGUCUUGUCGCUGCGAGUGCCCUGCAAUGAUACGGUUGCUGCGGUCGAACGACAACGGCUGGCACAUAAGCGAGCACAGGCCAUCGCACAACAAUUUCUUCGGUUCAACGAGCAAUGCGCCUUUCAGCAAAAGGGCCUUGAGGGGACUGUGUGGGGAAAUCAUCAGAGAUUAGCUUCAGUUUGUUCAACAUAAUAUAUCAUCUUAUGUUAUUUGAGACAAUUAGUACCAUCUAAUGGUGGCUACGCAUGUUCUUCGAUAUUACUGCACCUUGUAGUUGCAUGGUGAUUUGAACAAAAAUGGACUUUCAUGUGCAGAUAUUCCUAAAUAUUACUAAACCUUCUAGUUGUAAGGUGAUUUGAACAAAUGGAUUUUCAGGGCAAGCUUCAGUUGAUUUUCCUAAGCCCAUUUUUGAAAAGAG